RNAcentral lists this long non-coding RNA (544 nucleotides) under Homo sapiens (human). RNAcentral's name for it is "non-protein coding lnc-GMDS-22:1". Lineage: Eukaryota; Metazoa; Chordata; Mammalia; Primates; Hominidae. The record is from RNAcentral.
ACAGAAGCCCUCAAGAAAGUUGAGUCUGUUUCUGCAAAGACAUCUCCUUGGAGAGUGGGCUGGAGGAGGCGAUCCUCUCUCACAAAUCCCUGCCCUAACUGGCCUCGCCAGGGUUUUGGUGUCCUCUCUGUGGAGUGACCAGCCUUGCUUUGUACAGUAGUAGGACCCCACUGUCACCUUACACGUGCAGACUCUUCACUUGGGGAAGGAGGAGAAGCCCCACACAGCUUCUUGUAUCUCCCACUUAGGGUUUGUGUUUUGACACAGCUGUGGCUUGCAGGUAAUAACUAACCUACCUUGCAAGGUUGUAGUGAAGUUUAAAUUCAACAUUGCUUCCAAAAGUAUAUUUAAUUCAACAAUUAUUUCUUUGUUGCCUGUGUAAAUAUAACCCAGUGGAUUCGGUUGUAUGAUUUACAUAAUUUAUAUUAUAACUUAACAUUGACUGGCUUCAAUUAAAACUGCAAAUACAAACAAUAAAGCGCAGUCAAUCCCGUUUUGCUGAAACUGUGAAGACAUCUGAUCACAAAAUGCAAAAACAUUUAGG